CCUGUCGCUUGUGGCAUAAGGCAACAAGAGGAAAGUCCGGGCAACAAAGAGUGCCAUAUUUCCUAACGGGAAGCUGUCGGUGACGGCAGAGUAGUGUGACAGAAAACAACCGCCGCUUUCGAGCGGUAAGGGUGAAAAGGUGAGGUAAGAGCUCACCGGGCGCGAUGGUGACAUUGCGUGCCGCACAUCUUAUGGGUUGCAAGGUCAAGUAUACCGGCAUUUAAGGAUUACUCGUCCAUUGUCGGGGGGUAGGCUGCUAGAGUCGUAUGGCGACAUACGGCGUAGAUAAAUGACAGGACGUGGCUUCGGUCGCGACAUAACCCGGCUUAUAGCUGUGCUGU
Molecule: RNase P RNA, 341 nt
Filed under: human gut metagenome
Description: Bacterial RNase P class A
Rfam family: Bacterial RNase P class A
About the family: Ribonuclease P (RNase P) is a ubiquitous endoribonuclease, found in archaea, bacteria and eukarya as well as chloroplasts and mitochondria. Its best characterised activity is the generation of mature 5'-ends of tRNAs by cleaving the 5'-leader elements of precursor-tRNAs. Cellular RNase Ps are ribonucleoproteins.
Source: RNAcentral